Molecule: ribosomal RNA, 865 nt
Filed under: uncultured bacterium
Lineage: Bacteria
Description: bacterial SSU rRNA
Rfam family: Bacterial small subunit ribosomal RNA
Source: RNAcentral
AGAGUUUGAUCCUGGCUCAGAACGAACGCUGGCGGCAGGCCUAACACAUGCAAGUCUAGCGCGCCCUUUCGGGGGUGAGCGGCGGACGGGUGAGUAACGCGUGGGAAUAUGCCUUUCGGUACGGAAUAGUCCUGGGAAACUGGGGGUAAUACCGUAUGCGCCCUUUGGGGGAAAGAUUUAUCGCCGAAAGAUUAGCCCGCGUUGGAUUAGGUAGUUGGUGGGGUAAUGGCUCACCAAGCCGACGAUCCAUAGCUGGUUUGAGAGGAUGAUCAGCCACACUGGGACUGAGACACGGCCCAGACUCCUACGGGAGGCAGCAGUGGGGAAUCUUAGACAAUGGGGGCAACCCUGAUCUAGCCAUGCCGCGUGAGUGAUGAAGGCCUUAGGGUUGUAAAGCUCUUUCGCCGGGGAAGAUAAUGACUGUACCCGGUAAAGAAGUCCCGGCUAACUCCGUGCCAGCAGCCGCGGUAAUACGGAGGGGACUAGCGUUGUUCGGAAUUACUGGGCGUAAAGCGCACGUAGGCGGACCGAAAAGUUGGGGGUGAAAUCCCGGGGCUCAACCCCGGAACUGCCUUCAAAGCUAUUGGUCUGGAGUUCGAGAGAGGUGAGUGGAAUUCCGAGUGUAGAGGUGAAAUUCGUAGAUAUUCGGAGGAACACCAGUGGCGAAGGCGGCUCACUGGCUCGAUACUGACGCUGAGGUGCGAAAGCGUGGGGGAGCAAACAGGAUUAGAUACCCUGGGUAGUCCACGCCGUAAACGAUGAAUGCCAGACGUCGGGCAGCAUGCUGUUCGGUGUCACACCUAACGGAUUAAGCAUUCCGCCUGGGGAGUACGGUCGCAAGAUUAAAACUCAAAGGAAUUGACGG